RNAcentral lists this long non-coding RNA (896 nucleotides) under Mus musculus (house mouse). Its description in RNAcentral is "long non-coding RNA chr11:22860360-22861256". Lineage: Eukaryota; Metazoa; Chordata; Mammalia; Rodentia; Muridae. The record is from RNAcentral.
CUCAGGAAGUCAAGAAUGCAAGAUGCGGGAGGCGCUGGGUGCGGAGUUCGCUCGGCGACUUCAGAAGUUGGGCUUAGCAAGACAUCUGAACGCUGAACCCCCGUGAUGCCGCUGGACUGAGCACCAACCACACCCAAGCAUGGAUCACGCGGGACCCGGAACGGUCCCCCACCCCCAACCCAGCGCCUCCCCAGGCUCCCCAGAGCGCUACGUGCCAAGGUGAGGCCCAGGAAAAAGCCGGGGAGACCGGAUGGAGAAGUUGCUCUAGUUUGUAGAGCUGGGUGGGCCGGCCGAGUCGGCACGCCCUCAACACCGAACCUAGAGCCUGGUCCCCACAACCUGGGACGCGCUUGGAAGCUGCUUCCUCUCCCCUCCAUUCUUAUUGCUAAGGCCUUCGGUCGACCCUCUGGAGAUAAUCACACUGAGAAGUUAACACUCUACACCUGUUUGCUUUUUUUUUUUUUUUUUUUUUUUUUCAGAAGGCUGUCAGAUGGAGUUAGUCAAAGGGAUGCCAUUGACUUUCGAGCGCUGGAGAUUGAAUUUCAGCCAGCUCGACCAAGACCACGAAGUCUUACUUACAGCCGCAGAAAGAAGUAAGUGCGAGUUGUUUGGGUUGAGCGCAGAGCCACGUGUGUACGGUCAUCCACAAGAAGGAAUUCUGAGUCAGUGGUUCUGGAAAUGUUAAGAUUGACAAUCUGCAGACCGAUCUGUUCUUAUGUUUGUCACUACGUUCCCAAACAACAACAACAACUUGGAUUUUUAUAUGUUCACAUAAACUGUUAACCACUGUCACUCUGAACAAGAAAGGAAGAGAAAUUGUAUGCUUUUCUUGACUCUGAGGAAUUUUUUCCCACGAUUAUAUUUAUAAUUCAGAAAGCCAAUAAAAGAAGCAAAUU